ACGAACGCUGGCGGCGUGCUUAACACAUGCACGUCGAACGGAAAGGCCCUGCUUUUGUGGGGUGCUCGAGUGGCGAACGGGUGAGUAACACGUGAGUAACCUGCCCUUGACUUUGGGAUAACUUCAGGAAACUGGGGCUAAUACCGGAUAGGAGCUCCUGCUGCAUGGUUGGGGUUGGAAAGUUUCGGCGGUUGGGGAUGGACUCGCGGCUUAUCAGCUUGUUGGUGGGGUAGUGGCUUACCAAGGCUUUGACGGGUAGCCGGCCUGAGAGGGUGACCGGCCACAUUGGGACUGAGAUACGGCCCAGACUCCUACGGGAGGCAGCAGUGGGGAAUAUUGCACAAUGGGCGGAAGCCUGAUGCAGCAACGCCGCGUGCGGGAUGACGGCCUUCGGGUUGGAAACCGCUUUCGCCUGUGACGAAGCGUGAGUGACGGUAAUGGGUAAAGAAGCACCGGCUAACUACGUG
Molecule: ribosomal RNA, 467 nt
Filed under: uncultured bacterium
Lineage: Bacteria
Description: partial 16S ribosomal RNA
Rfam family: Bacterial small subunit ribosomal RNA
Source: RNAcentral